RNAcentral lists this ribosomal RNA (597 nucleotides) under Lacticaseibacillus paracasei. RNAcentral describes it as "bacterial SSU rRNA". It matches the Rfam family "Bacterial small subunit ribosomal RNA", at positions 401 to 991 of the family's 1533-position model. Lineage: Bacteria; Bacillati; Bacillota; Bacilli; Lactobacillales; Lactobacillaceae. The record is from RNAcentral.
GAGUGAAGAAGGCUUUCGGGUCGUAAAACUCUGUUGUUGGAGAAGAAUGGUCGGCAGAGUAACUGUUGCCGGCGUGACGGUAUCCAACCAGAAAGCCACGGCUAACUACGUGCCAGCAGCCGCGGUAAUACGUAGGUGGCAAGCGUUAUCCGGAUUUAUUGGGCGUAAAGCGAGCGCAGGCGGUUUUUUAAGUCUGAUGUGAAAGCCCUCGGCUUAACCGAGGAAGCGCAUCGGAAACUGGGUAACUUGAGUGCAGAAGAGGACAGUGGAACUCCAUGUGUAGCGGUGAAAUGCGUAGAUAUAUGGAAGAACACCAGUGGCGAAGGCGGCUGUCUGGUCUGUAACUGACGCUGAGGCUCGAAAGCAUGGGUAGCGAACAGGAUUAGAUACCCUGGUAGUCCAUGCCGUAAACGAUGAAUGCUAGGUGUUGGAGGGUUUCCGCCCUUCAGUGCCGCAGCUAACGCAUUAAGCAUUCCGCCUGGGGAGUACGACCGCAAGGUUGAAACUCAAAGGAAUUGACGGGGGCCCGCACAAGCGGUGGAGCAUGUGGUUUAAUUCGAAGCAACGCGAAGAACCUUACCAGGUCUUGACAUCUUU